RNAcentral lists this ribosomal RNA (401 nucleotides) under uncultured bacterium. Its description in RNAcentral is "bacterial SSU rRNA". It matches the Rfam family "Bacterial small subunit ribosomal RNA", at positions 976 to 1380 of the family's 1533-position model. The record is from RNAcentral.
AGGGCUUGACAUAUACAGGAAUAUAUAAGAGAUUAUAUAGCUCUACGGAGUCUGUAUACAGGUGGUGCAUGGUUGUCGUCAGCUCGUGUCGUGAGAUGUUGGGUUAAGUCCCGUAACGAGCGCAACCCCUAUGGCUAGUUGCUAACAUUAAGUUGAGGACUCUAGCAAGACUGCCGUUGUUAAAACGGAGGAAGGUGGGGACGACGUCAAAUCAUCAUGCCCUUUAUGUCCUGGGCUACACACGUACUACAAUGGGUAAGACAGAGGGAAGCGAAAGUGCGAACUGGAGCAAAACCCUAAACUUAUUCUCAGUUCGGAUUGGAGUCUGAAAUUCGGCUCCAUGAAGCUGGAAUUGCUAGUAAUGGCAGGUCAGCAUACUGCCGUGAAUACGUUCCCGGGCC